ACGGCGAGUGAAGCGGCAACAGCUCAAAUUUGAAAUCUGGCUCCCUUUGGGGGUCCGAGUUGUAAUUUGCAGAGGGUGCUUUGGCGUCGACGGCGGUCUAAGUCCCUUGGAACAGGGCAUCACAGAGGGUGAGAAUCCCGUAUGUGGCCGCAAGCCUUCGCCGUGUAAAGCCCCUUCAACGAGUCGAGUUGUUUGGGAAUGCAGCUCUAAAUGGGAGGUAAAUAUCUUCUAAAGCUAAAUACUGGCCAGAGACCGAUAGCGCACAAGUAGAGUGAUCGAAAGAUGAAAAGCACUUUGGAAAGAGAGUCAAACAGCACGUGAAAUUGUUGAAAGGGAAGCGCUUGCAGCCAGACUUGCUCGCAGUUGCUCAUCCGGGCUCUCGCCCGGUGCACUCUUCUGCGCGCAGGCCAGCAUCAGUUUGGGCAGCCGGAUAAAGGCCUCUGUCACGUAUCUUCCUUCGGGAUGACCUUAUAGGGGAGGUGUAAUGCGGUUAGCCUGGACUGAGGUCCGCGCAUCUGCUAGGAUGCUGGCGUAAUGGCUGUAAGCGGCCCGUCUUGAAACACGGACCAAGGAGUCUAACAUCUAUGCGAGUGUUUGGGUGUCAAGCCCGAGCGCGCAAUGAAAGUGAACGGAGGUGGGAGCCCUCUUGGGGGUGCACCAUCGACCGAUCCUGAUGUCUUCGGAUGGAUUUGAGUAAGAGCAUAGCUGUUGGGACCCGAAAGAUGGUGAACUAUGCUUGAAUAGGGUGAAGCCAGAGGAAACUCUGGUGGAGGCUCGCAGCGGUUCUGACGUGCAAAUCGAUCGUCAAAUUUGGGCAUAGGG
RNAcentral lists this ribosomal RNA (822 nucleotides) under Paramonodictys globosa. Its description in RNAcentral is "Paramonodictys sp. NGL-2023a partial large subunit ribosomal RNA". It matches the Rfam family "Eukaryotic large subunit ribosomal RNA", at positions 86 to 922 of the family's 3401-position model. Lineage: Eukaryota; Fungi; Ascomycota; Dothideomycetes; Pleosporales; Parabambusicolaceae. The record is from RNAcentral.